CCUACGGGAGGCAGCAGUGAGGAAUAUUGGUCAAUGGACGAGAGUCUGAACCAGCCAAGCAGCGUGAAGGAUGACUGCUCUAUGGGUUGUAAACUGCUUUUAUAUGGGAAUAAAAUUUUCCACGUGUGUGAUUUUGUAUGUACCAUAUGAAUAAGGAUCGGCUAACUCCGUGCCAGCAGCCGCGGUAAUACGGAGGAUCCGAGCGUUAUCCGGAUUUAUUGGGUUUAAAGGGAGCGUAGGUGGAUUGUUAAGUCAGUUGUGAAAGUUUGCGGCUCAACCGUAAAAUUGCAGUUGAAACUGGCAGUCUAGAGUACAGUAGAGGUAGGCGGAAUUCGUGGUGUAGCGGUGAAAUGCUUAGAUAUCACGAAGAACUCCGAUUGCGAAGGCAGCUCACUGGACUGCAACUGACACUGAGGCUCGAAAGUGUGGGUAUCAAACAGGAUUAGAUACCCGGGUAGUC
This 460-nucleotide ribosomal RNA is filed under the name uncultured bacterium. RNAcentral's name for it is "partial 16S ribosomal RNA". It matches the Rfam family "Bacterial small subunit ribosomal RNA", at positions 338 to 795 of the family's 1533-position model. The record is from RNAcentral.